RNAcentral lists this long non-coding RNA (361 nucleotides) under Gossypium raimondii (Peruvian cotton). RNAcentral describes it as "long non-coding RNA (GRAI_LNC003741)". Lineage: Eukaryota; Viridiplantae; Streptophyta; Magnoliopsida; Malvales; Malvaceae. The record is from RNAcentral.
AAAUGUCAAAAACCCUAAAACCUAAACCCUAAACCAUAUACCACCAAACCCUAGUAUUUAAAUAACUUUUUCUUUGGCUGACCCCUUUUUCUCUUCCCUUCUUUUUCUUAUCACCUCCCCUUUUCACUAAUCUCUAUUUUUUCUCUCUUCUUCUCCCUUCUGCUACCUUCCCCUUUCUUCAUCAUCAUUUUUUCUUUUUUUUCUCUUCUCUUCUCCUCUCCUUUCAUUCCUCUUUUCAUAACCAUCACAUCAACCAUCAUGUUGGGCUAUUGAUUUCCUCCUCUUGUCAUAUAACAUUUAGUCUGCUCGGUUUCAACUAGUGUUUAGAUCUGUCGAUAAUUGAUUUUUUUCUAUUGCUAUG